RNAcentral lists this ribosomal RNA (460 nucleotides) under uncultured bacterium. Its description in RNAcentral is "partial 16S ribosomal RNA". It matches the Rfam family "Bacterial small subunit ribosomal RNA", at positions 338 to 795 of the family's 1533-position model. The record is from RNAcentral.
CCUACGGGUGGCAGCAGUGAGGAAUAUUGGUCAAUGGGCGUAAGCCUGAACCAGCCAAGUCGCGUGAGGGAUGAAGGUUCUAUGGAUCGUAAACCUCUUUUAUAAGGGAAUAAAGUGUGGGACGUGUCCUGUUUUGUAUGUACCUUAUGAAUAAGGAUCGGCUAACUCCGUGCCAGCAGCCGCGGUAAUUCGGAGGAUCCGGGCGUUAUCCGGAUUUCUUGGGUUUAAAGGGUGCGUAGGCGGCCUUUUAAGUCAGGGGUGAAAGUCUGUGGCUCAACCAUGGAAUUGCCGUUGAAACUGGGAGGCUUGAGUAGGUGUGAGGCAGGCGGAAUGCGUGGUGUAGCGGUGAAAUGCUUAGAUAUCACGCAGAACCCCGAUUGCGAAGGCAGCCUGCCAAGCCAUGACUGACGCUGAUGCACGAAAGCGUGGGGAUCAAACAGGAUUAGAUACCCGUGUAGUC